GCUCAGACGUUAAUGCGGAGCGACACCCCAGAGCCGGUCGCGGACGGGUGCGGGGCUCCGCUGGCUUCCCGCCUUGCCUGGCCAGGCGACCGCCUUGAAGCAAGAGGUGAGGGCCAAGAGGUUAAAGAAGAACCCAAACAGACCUCAGCCUACAGCCGCAGGGGGCUGUGGUACUUCGGACAUGUCAAGAGAAGAACGCCCCCCCCCGAAAAAGACCAACGGAAAGCAGCAGGGAGAGCGGAAGACUAACCAAUGGAUGGAAUGAGCCUAAGGAAGCCACCGCCUUGAGUCCCGCAAGACCUGAACAGGGGCUGCUAGUCACGGGGUAAUGUCUUGUUCUGUACCGUGAGUAAACCCGAAACUCAAGGGCUGGGCAAGCAGAAUGCUUCUCUUUCAAUGCCUUGUGAUGGCAUCCACAAUUGCAGACAAUAACAACCUUAACCAAGAUGCAUGAAGCGAUGUUCUGAUGUUGGAGUUCCAAUAAUGGCCCAUUAAGACACAAGAAGAAAUGCUCCUACAUAGGUGGCCAGGAGGGCAAGGGAACUGCAACAACAGGCAAGCAAUGAGACAACAAAUGUUUUGAAUAUAAAUAACAUAUUGAUGAUUAUAGAUUCCCCGUAUG
Molecule: non-coding RNA, 622 nt
Organism: Pogona vitticeps (central bearded dragon)
Lineage: Eukaryota; Metazoa; Chordata; Lepidosauria; Squamata; Agamidae
Source: RefSeq, a predicted model, not a curated record